AGUGAGCGCUGGCGGUAGGCCUAACACAUGCAAGUCGAACGGCAGCACAGUAAGAGCUUGCUCUUACGGGUGGCGAGUGGCGGACGGGUGAGGAAUACAUCGGAAUCUACUUUUUCGUGGGGGAUAACGUAGGGAAACUUACGCUAAUACCGCAUACGACCUACGGGUGAAAGCAGGGGAUCUUCGGACCUUGCGCGAUUGAAUGAGCCGAUGUCGGAUUAGCUAGUUGGCGGGGUAAAGGCCCAACAAGGCGACGAUCCGUAGCUGGUCUGAGAGGAUGAUCAGCCACACUGGAACUGAGACACGGUCCAGACUCCUACGGGAGGCAGCAGUGGGGAAUAUUGGACAAUGGGCGCAAGCCUGAUCCAGCCAUACCGCGUGGGUGAAGAAGGCCUUCGGGUUGUAAAGCCCUUUUGUUGGGAAAGAAAAGCAGCAGGUUAAUACCCCGCUGCUCUGACGGUACCCAAAGAAUAAGCACCGGCUAACUUCGUG
Molecule: ribosomal RNA, 492 nt
Filed under: uncultured bacterium
Lineage: Bacteria
Description: partial 16S ribosomal RNA
Rfam family: Bacterial small subunit ribosomal RNA
Source: RNAcentral